Molecule: long non-coding RNA, 1254 nt
Organism: Colius striatus (speckled mousebird)
Lineage: Eukaryota; Metazoa; Chordata; Aves; Coliiformes; Coliidae
Exons: 5
Source: RefSeq, a predicted model, not a curated record
GGGUCUCUCAGCGCGGGGGCGGCGCCGGCGGCUGCUCCCGGGGGUCCCGGCGGAGGCGGCUCCGGCCGUGUCGGGCGAGGAGGAGGCGGCCGAGCUCCCCACGGCUGAGCGCCGGGCGGCGAGCGAGUGCAGGAUGGGGGGCGCGUGGCCGGCGGGGCCCUGUGGGCGGUGGUGGAAGCGGCCAGCGCCGGCGCCUCGGUUCUCUGCCUGUGUGAGAAGGGAGAUGCCAAGGUCACGGAAGAGACAGGCAAGAUGUCGAAGAAGGAAAAAGAAAUGAAAACAGGAAAGUGCCGGGUCCUUGUUGCUAUUCCGAGGGUGGUGUUUCUCACAGAGCCUGCGGCAGCUGCUCUUCAAGAUGCUGCAGGAGAUGUGCAGCCUACCGGCAGUACCUCCUAGGCUACCUGCUGCUCGGGGACAGCGCUGGGGCCGUCACCAAGGGAGACAGAGAACGUUGUGCGCUGCUGAUGUCACACAGGGGCUGUUCCAGACCCCACCCGGCGUUUGUGACCUCACCUGACAGAGUCUAUAAAGCCUCCCAGCAGGACAGCCAGAGCCAGUUGGGCUGAGCUGCCCUCGAGAGGACUCAGCUCCUUCUUUGGCUACUUGCCUUCCUGCUUGCUUCCAGACAUUUCUCGUUUGCUGACCACUUCUCCUCAACUUCCAUCUCUUCCAAAGAUGCUGCUGUGGCUCUGUGCAAUGGCUCUUUGCUUGGCCAGUGUGAUCCCCUACGCCGUGCCUGGAGCGCUGGCACUGCUGGGCUGCUGGUGGCUCUACUCCCACAGCAAAGAGCAGGCCAGAGCUGGUGCUGAAGCGGCAGCAGCUGCUGAGGAAGCGCAGCAGAGAGGAGGGACAGAGGAGGAAUCAUCGCCCCAAGGGGAAGCCUGUGUCCCUCAGGAGCUGCCUUUGUCAGCAGCAGAGGAAUGCCCAGGGACCGACCUUCGGGAUGUGUCAGCAGCAACAGCUGAGCCCAGCACUGCUGAGGGUGACACGGCAGGAGCAGAGACAGGAGGCUGUGCAGAGGAGAGCGGCGUCCCUGCUGCUGUUUCUGUCCCCGUGCAGAGCACAGUGUCCCGGCAGCGCUGCAGCCAGCCCCGCACAGGGCUCAGGCUCAGGCGCCGACGCAGAGCAGCGCCAGCAGCGCCGGCAGCGCCAGCAGCGCGUGUGGGAGCCGGGCAGGAGCUGAGCAGUGCCCAGAGCGCUCCCGGGGAAGCGGCCACAGGCGCUGAGGAAGCGCAGGAGGAACGAGGGCUAGAG